This 1580-nucleotide unclassified non-coding RNA is filed under the name Amphibalanus amphitrite. Its description in RNAcentral is "methylated-DNA--protein-cysteine methyltransferase- like, transcript variant X3". Lineage: Eukaryota; Metazoa; Arthropoda; Thecostraca; Balanomorpha; Balanidae. The record is from RNAcentral.
CGGGGAUAAGGAAAAAGCAUUGCCUUCGGCACUGCGCUGCUUCGCCGCGAGAAGUAUUAUGACGUCAUUAUUCACAGUUGAAUAGCAACUGUUAGAUAUCAUCCUUGAUUUACUUGACCUUGGCCAGCUUUGCGCAAGUAAUUGCCGCCCGGCACAUUGCGCUGAUUGCGCUAGUGUGGAGUUGGUGUGUGGAGUGCGGUAGCGAUUUGCGGUAACUGUAACUUUUGUAAACGCAACAUUCAAUGCUCAAGACAUUAUGGGAGCCAAGCCAAAAAAGUUCUCCAACUCUGCCACAAAAUGGGACAAGCAUGCUUGGUUGGCAACAUCUCAGCACAAAGAUACAAGUCUGGCAACCUUUGUGUCUCCAAUAUGUGAUAUAAAAAUAGCUGCUUGUAAAGCUGGGCUGCACAGUAUUUCUUGGGAGAUGGGAGACCCCUGUGAUGAGUUAAAGGCGAGGUAAUUCUACUUGCAGGUCUGGUUUUUAUACCAAAUCACACUUUAUUUUUGAGGGAUUGUUUUGACUACUUAUCUAUCCUAGUGCUAAUGUAGUCCACGAAUUGAAUUGUGUUUGUUAGAGAUUUUAAUGCUUAGCGUGAUGAUGGUACCGAACUAAACUCUAGGAUAUGUGAUACAAUAUGCGAGGAUAAUGACCAGAACUAAAGUACGGCUGUAUUUUUAUUAAUUCAAUGCCGUCAAAGCGGUCAUUUUAUUUAUAUGCCGCCCAAUGCCCUUGGCCGACAUAGAUAAGGCAUUGUGUACCUUGUAAGUGUUGACAACAUUCUUGCUGCUGGUCACUGGUCACUUCUGGGAAGGCCAUUUGAUCUGUUUGGCCAGGGAUGGGUCCGGUAUUAUGUGUAAUUGGCAGGUUCCCCCGAAUAAGUAUGUUCUGGAUUGCAGGGAAGUCUGGGGAGACGUGACCAGCCACAGCGGACCGGACUGCCAGCACAUCGAGGAGGCCGCACAGUGGCUGAGGUCGUUCUUCAGGAACCCCCACCAACGGACGCCGGCGCCGAAGCUUUGCUAUGGUCAAGUUAAAGCGGUGUCGUGUAUACCAAUAUGGGAAAAAUUGAAGGAUGAAGUUGGUCCCGGUGAAACCAUCUCCUAUGGUCAACUGGCGGCGCUGUGUGGAAAUCCAAAAGCCAGCCGGCACGUCGGCUACGCGAUGGGCCACAACAGCUUCGGACUGGUGGUGCCGUGCCACCGCGUGGUGACGGCCGGCGGGGCGCUGGGCAACUACUGCCGCGGCCGCAAGAACCCGCUCAAGGUGUGGCUGCACGAGCACGAGCGGGCGCCGCCGUCAGCCGAGCCGGCCAAACGGUGAACGCCGGCGAGCGGGAUACUGGUCUCCGUCAGAGGCAAAUCGUCACCCAUCAGACACGCCGAUUGGACCCGAAGGCACAAAAUGUGUUGGUCCGCUAACGUGAAGCGAUGUGUGCUGUGGAACGUGUAUUAUUGUGAUAUUCACGUGUAUUGUGUGCGCUGUGACCAGAUGUGCCAUUGCUGCUGCUCUUGUAAAGGCUAAGAUACAACGUGUUUCACUUUUGAAAGAAGGCUUUUGUUUAAUACAUAAUUUUAUGAAA